Molecule: ribosomal RNA, 443 nt
Filed under: uncultured bacterium
Lineage: Bacteria
Description: bacterial SSU rRNA
Rfam family: Bacterial small subunit ribosomal RNA
Source: RNAcentral
CCUACGGGAGGCAGCAGUGGGGAAUUUUCCGCAAUGGGCGAAAGCCUGACGGAGCAAUACCGCGUGAGGGAAGACUGCCUAUGGGUUGUAAACCUCUUUUUUCAGGGAGGAAUAAAUGACGUGUACCUGAAGAAUAAGCAUCGGCUAACUCCGUGCCAGCAGCCGCGGUAAGACGGAGGAUGCAAGUGUUAUCCGGAAUCACUGGGCGUAAAGCGUCUGUAGGUUGUUGUUUAAGUCAACUGUUAAAUCUUGAGGCUCAACUUCGAAAUCGCAGUCGAAACUAUUCAACUAGAGUAUAGUAGGGGUAAAGGGAAUUUCCAGUGGAGCGGUGAAAUGCGUAGAUAUUGGAAAGAACACCGAUGGCGAAGGCACUUUACUGGGCUAUUACUAACACUCAGAGACGAAAGCUAGGGUAGCAAAUGGGAUUAGAUACCCUAGUAGUC